AUGAAGCGCAAGAGCAGGCGGACCAAGGCAUACACGGCGGACAAGGACAAGCUCCUUUGUGAGUGUUGGAGGGACAUUGGGCAAGACCCUAAGACCGGCGCCAAACAAAAGGCAUCAACCUUUUGGACUCGCGUCCAUCAUGAGUUCCAUGAGUGCAAGAAGUUUCCACCAUACCUAAUGCAAAGCAUGCACGGAUGGGUGUCCAUUUUGAAGCAUUGGAAGGUGAUCCAACAAGAGUGCAACAAGUUUUUGUGCCACUCUUGAGGCAUCAAGGAAAGCCCCGUGAGCGGCAUUGACAUGCAAGACAUGGUAUGCUAG
This 318-nucleotide ribosomal RNA is filed under the name Triticum aestivum (bread wheat). Its description in RNAcentral is "partial small subunit ribosomal RNA". The record is from RNAcentral. Lineage: Eukaryota; Viridiplantae; Streptophyta; Magnoliopsida; Poales; Poaceae.